Molecule: ribosomal RNA, 89 nt
Filed under: Diplasiolejeunea armatiloba
Lineage: Eukaryota; Viridiplantae; Streptophyta; Jungermanniopsida; Porellales; Lejeuneaceae
Description: partial 26S ribosomal RNA
Rfam family: Eukaryotic large subunit ribosomal RNA
Source: RNAcentral
CGGACCUCAGAUCAGGCAAGACCACCCGCUGAGUUUAAGCAUAUCACUAAGCGGAGGAAAAGAAACUAUCAAGGAUUUCCUUAGUAACG